RNAcentral lists this ribosomal RNA (371 nucleotides) under uncultured organism. RNAcentral describes it as "bacterial SSU rRNA". It matches the Rfam family "Bacterial small subunit ribosomal RNA", at positions 526 to 895 of the family's 1533-position model. The record is from RNAcentral.
CGAAGGGUGCAAGCGCUACUCGGAAUUACUGGGCGUAAAGCGUGCGUAGGUGGUUUGUUAAGUCUGAUGUGAAAGCCCUGGGCUCAACCUGGGAAUGGCAUUGGAUACUGGCGAGCUAGAGUGCGGUAGAGGGCAGUGGAAUUCCCGGUGUAGCAGUGAAAUGCGUAGAGAUCGGGAGGAACAUCUGUGGCGAAGGCGACUGCCUGGACCAGCACUGACACUGAGGCACGAAAGCGUGGGGAGCAAACAGGAUUAGAUACCCUGGUAGUCCACGCCCUAAACGAUGCGAACUGGAUGUUGGGUGCAAUUAGGCACUCAGUAUCGAAGCUAACGCGUUAAGUUCGCCGCCUGGGGAGUACGGUCGCAAGACU